Molecule: non-coding RNA, 91 nt
Organism: Meloidogyne enterolobii
Lineage: Eukaryota; Metazoa; Nematoda; Chromadorea; Rhabditida; Meloidogynidae
Source: the annotation of a GenBank genome assembly
GUACCGGUAGCUCAUUUGGUAGAGCACCUGUACGUGGUGAGCGAAAGCGCCAAGUGCCAGGAGGUCGCAGGAUCGAAGCCUGCCCGGGAUU